UAGGGAAUCUUCGGCAAUGGACGAAAGUCUGACCGAGCAACGCCGCGUGAGUGAAGAAGGUUUUCGGAUCGUAAAACUCUGUUGGUAGAGAAGAACGUUGGUGAGAGUGGAAAGCUCAUCAAGUGACGGUAACUACCCAGAAAGGGACGGCUAACUACGUGCCAGCAGCCGCGGUAAUACGUAGGUCCCGAGCGUUGUCCGGAUUUAUUGGGCGUAAAGCGAGCGCAGGUGGUUUAUUAAGUCUGGUGUAAAAGGCAGUGGCUCAACCAUUGUAUGCAUUGGAAACUGGUAGACUUGAGUGCAGGAGAGGAGAGUGGAAUUCCAUGUGUAGCGGUGGAAUGCGUAGAUAUAUGGAAGAACACCAGUGGCGAAGGCGGCUCUCUGGUCUGCAACUGACGCUGAGGCUCGAAAGCAUGGGUAGCGAACAGGAUUAGAUACCCUGGUAGUCCAUGCCGUAAACGAUGAGCAGCUAG
RNAcentral lists this ribosomal RNA (473 nucleotides) under uncultured bacterium. RNAcentral describes it as "partial 16S ribosomal RNA". It matches the Rfam family "Bacterial small subunit ribosomal RNA", at positions 355 to 820 of the family's 1533-position model. The record is from RNAcentral.